UCCCAAAGGAAGGCUCUGGAAACUCACACACGGACUGUAGCAGCACCCGGAUCGUGGCUUGAAGGCCACCAAAUGAAAUGAGCAGCUCAAGACGCAUUGCAGGGACGCUGAAAUGCGCAACUACGGAACCUAGGAUGGUGAUGAAACGCAGGACAGCAAGACUCGGAUUGCAGAGAAAAGAAAAGGAGGACGCGCACUGCAAAGAGCUGGAGGUGAACUGGUGUUGGGCUGAGGCUCGAAAUGCACGAAAAGGGAUGUGAAACGCGGGGCUGGAGAAAGAAACGCGCAUUAUAAAAGGAUUUUUACUGGGCGCCGACUCGGCUUCUACGCCUUGGAAGUCGAAAUUAAAAGCUGAUCAAGUUUUUGACACCGUUGCCGGGGACAAUUGGUGUUUAGUAGAGCAUUCUCAUAUUGUUGAGAAGACGUUUGUAGUGCUAUGAACCUCUUCACAGCUUGGGUGACAUUCUUCUUUAUUUUAUUUUUAUUUUUUCUUGCAUAUUCUUUCAUUUUCUGUUAUUGUUUGUAUGACUGGUUGGAUUAGGGACCAAACUUCUCGGUUGGUUAGGACAGAAUCAUAAGCAUCUUUUACCUCAGCAUCACUUUCUCUUGAGUCAUCUUCUGACACUAAUAGUACUAUGGCUGAAAAUGAGAAUCAUGAUCGAGAAGUAGUAAAUCAGAAUAGGAUACUUAGAGAUUAUUUACAACCUGUCAGAACCAGCACACCCUUAUGCAUAAUCCAACUUUUGAAUGCAAAUGCCUUUAAUUUCAAACAUGAAAUGAUUUCAUUAAUUCCACAUUUUCAUGGCAUGGAAUCCAAGAAUCCUUACCUUCAUAUCAAAGAGUUUGAAGAGGUAUGUUCUACAUUCAUGGACCGGACAUGCACUGAGGAGGUUAUUAGACUAAAGUUAUUUCUAUUUUCCUUGAAAGAUAAGGCUAAAACGUGGCUAAAUGCAUUGACACCUAGAACCAUAGGCACAUGGCAGGAAAUACAAACUGAAUUUUUGAAGAAAUUCUUUCCAAUACAUAGGACAAAUGCACUUAAAAGACAAAUCAUGAACUUUACCCAAAAAGAUUUUGAAACUUUUUAUCAAAGUUGGGAAAGGUUCAAUGAUCUUUUAAAUACUUGUCCUCAUCAUGGUUAUGAAAAUUAGCGUUUGAUAAGUUUUUUUUAUGAAAGUUUGACACCUAAAAUGCGCCAAUUUGUACAAACCAUGUGUAAUGGAGAAUUUUUUGACAAAGAGCCUGAGAAGCAUUUGAAUAUUUGGAUUAUCUUGCUGAAAAUGCUCAAUCUUAGGACACAAGUGAUGUGCAUGAUAGGUCUAGGCAAGUUGAGUCUGGUCAUGGAAAAUAUACUUUAAAGGAAGAUGAUGAUUUGCGUGCUAAAUUAACCUUGUUGUCUAGAAAAAUGGAAGCCAUGGAAUUGAAAAAAGUAAAUGAAGUGCAUGCUGUCCAUAAAAAUUAUGAGAAGUGUGGCAUAUGUGAGGAUCAUGGGCAUUCAACUAAUGAGUCUCCCAUGAUCCCCGCAUUCAAAGAGGUAUUGUUGGAUCAAUCUAAUGCUGUAAAUAUGAUAUAUAAACUAUAUUCUGGUCUUUACUCUAAUUCUUACAAUCCAGGAUGGAGAAACCACCCAAAUUUUGGGUGGAGGAAUGACCAGCAAGUAGCUCCAGCAGCCUCGGCACCGGGACCCUCUCAACUCACAAUUCAAGCACCUCCAAUGCAAAAGAAGGGACUUGAGGAGAUGGUACAACAAUUGUCAAACACCUUGCAACAGUUUAUGCAAGGUCAAGCAACAAUCAAUAAUCAAAACUCUUAAACGAUAAAUGACAUUCGGAGCACACUUACAAAAAUGACUACGACAUGGAGCUCUCUAGAAAAAGAAAAAUUUACUACACAACCUCAACCCAAUCCACAAAGUCUGCCACCUUAAGGAGCGGUUGAGAGUUCAAAUGUAAG
Long non-coding RNA from Juglans regia (Persian walnut), 1953 nucleotides. RefSeq lists it as uncharacterized. The transcript has 2 exons. The record is from RefSeq and is a predicted model, not a curated record. NCBI's taxonomy places the organism in Eukaryota, Viridiplantae, Streptophyta, Magnoliopsida, Fagales, Juglandaceae.